AGGACGAACGCUGGCGGCGUGCUUAACACAUGCAAGUCGAGCGGAAAGGCCCUUCGGGGUACUCGAGCGGCGAACGGGUGAGUAACACGUGAGCAACCUGCCCUUAGCUUCGGGAUAGCUCCGGGAAACCGGAAUUAAUACCGGAUAUGACUAUGGCCGACAUCAGCCAUGGUGGAAAGUUUUUCGGCUAGGGAUGGACUCGCGGCCUAUCAGCUAGUUGGUGAGGUAACGGCUCACCAAGGCGACGACGGGUAGCAGGCCUGAGAGGGCGACCGGCCACACUGGGACUGAGACACGGCCCAGACUCCUACGGGAGGCAGCAGUGGGGAAUAUUGCGCAAUGGGCGAAAGCCUGACGCAGCGACGCCGCGUGGGGGAUGAAUGCCUUCGGGUUGUAACCCCUUUCAGCAGGGACGAAGCGAAAGUGACGGUACCUGCAGAAGAAGCGCCGGCUAACUACGUGCCAGCAGCCGCGGUAA
Molecule: ribosomal RNA, 478 nt
Filed under: uncultured bacterium
Lineage: Bacteria
Description: SSU rRNA
Rfam family: Bacterial small subunit ribosomal RNA
Source: RNAcentral